This 253-nucleotide ribosomal RNA is filed under the name uncultured bacterium. RNAcentral's name for it is "partial 16S ribosomal RNA". It matches the Rfam family "Bacterial small subunit ribosomal RNA", at positions 524 to 776 of the family's 1533-position model. The record is from RNAcentral.
CACGUAGGGCGCGAGCGUUGUCCGGAAUUAUUGGGCGUAAAGAGCUCGUAGGCGGCCUGUUGCGUCCGCUGUGAAAGCCCGGGGCUUAACCCCGGGUCGGCAGUGGAUACGGGCAGGCUAGAGGUAGGUAGGGGAGAAUGGAAUUCCCGGUGUAGCGGUGAAAUGCGCAGAUAUCGGGAGGAACACCAGUGGCGAAGGCGACUACCUGGCCUGUUCUUGACGCUGAGGCGCGAAAGCUAGGGGAGCAAACGGG